RNAcentral lists this long non-coding RNA (1572 nucleotides) under Aedes aegypti (yellow fever mosquito). RNAcentral's name for it is "lncRNA AAEL020293". The record is from RNAcentral. Lineage: Eukaryota; Metazoa; Arthropoda; Insecta; Diptera; Culicidae.
UCAACAGAAAACAUGAUUCAAAAAUUGCUCUUAUUUUGAAUACUGACUCUGCGUCCGUAACCGUUCCCCUGCAUGCUAGGUGUUGCAUCUACAUACUUCUGACGGUAUUCUGCAUUCUACUGCAUGAUCUUGAUACAUACUAGAUUGCAUCUAUAAAGAUUUUAGUGCAAUGAAUACUGCAUACUAAGACUUCUCUGAACUGUGAACAUAUUGAUAUUAUUUCUUUGCAAGACAUAAAAAAAGGUUGAUCAUCGGAAUGCAAUGGGUAACAAGGCUAACACGUGGGGAUGUUUAUGCUACACGGUGAAAAUUGAAAAUACUAAUUAGCAUAGUGUUUAAUAUUUCCUUGACAUUUUUCAUGUUUAUCCCUUGCGAUGCAUAUGAAGCAUGCACUACAUGAUUUUAAUGUAUACUUUGUAAUGAAUAUUUAACGUUUAUCUUUUCCUGUGCAUAUGCAUGACCUUCUGAUAAUCUUGGAACUUGUAGAAAUUAAUUUUAUUUUCCUGGCAAACCAGCAAGCAACGACAUGUUUGCUAAUAGUUUUCCAUCGUUUUCUUUGACUGUUUCGUUGGAAAUACUUUCAAAUAAUAGCAAAAAAAGGACCGCUGCUGAAAUUGUAUGCAGAGGUAAUUUAAAGAUUAAAAGUUCUAAUUCCAAAUCAAAUCAUUUAGGAUAUUCAAUGUGUUUCAGUAAGUACCAUCCGAGUGAAUUACAAUGGUGGCAUCGGUAGACUUUUAAAGCCGGAAGUGAUCAGUAGAAAGCCCAUUCCAGAGCGCGAUCGAUUCUGCGGCAUUUCCAGUAUUCUGACAAGGAGUACCACACGAAGCAGACCGUGUUCCGUCGAAUUUUCUCAAACUCUUCUCAAUGGAUUACUGAAGCUGUUUCCUCAAAUGUUCGAUAAACGCAAGCAGCUCUCCAUCGGACCAAAGAGUGAGUCAAGGACAUUCGGGAAAACGUGGACUGUUAUGCAGGAUGAUGUCGAAUCGAGAACACGGUGAGCAACGCGAUGAAUCAAUAUGACUCGGGUGAAGCCAACUCAUGUGAUUUUAGAAUAGGAUUUAGUAAUGUGAUCAUCAAUCAGAUGUGUAAUUAUUGGUUCAAUAAAUAUAAAUUAUUCGCGGAAUAAUAUCGCGAGAUUUUUCAUUUGUUUAGAAAAACAAAAGAAAAAUUAAAUUUUAAGAAAUUCAGUGAAUUAUUAUUCAUUAUGCAUUGGAUAAAUUAACUGUGAUAUAUGCACACGUUGCUAUAAAAGUUUUUUAUACUAGCGAUGCAUAUUAGGUACAUAUUCAUUGCUAGGGGUGAAUAGACCGAAUAUGGUUUUAGUAUGGCUUUUACACUGCUUAGCAUAUAUUUUUUUAACCGUGUAUGCUAUUCCUCUUUAAUGGGAAAAAAUAUUUAGGAUUUCUCUACUUCUACUUACACAAUAACAAAUCCAAUAAUUAAACGUUUUUGAUUUAUAUAUAACUUUUCGGAUCUCCAACCAAUCACAUCGCCAUAACUUAAGAUUAUUUUUCCCCGCGGAGAAGAUUUUCAACAUGAAACGAAAUCACUAAUCUGCUACUUGAGAGGGUA